UCGGAGGAGUUAGCGAAAUUCCAAUGUGUGCGGAUCUGCAAAAAAUGCAAAAUAACCCUUUAACCGUACAUUUGACAGAUACGCCCGCACUGACUUUUUUGUAGAUCUUAUUGAGAUACAUGUGUGUGUCAAUUUUUGUGUCAAUAUGACAAAGCGUACAGGCGUGACAGUCAAUAGUGUGAAUUUUCACCUUAGGGGGCGCUAUGGAGCCAUUUUGCAUUUUCUUGUUUGGGCGACUUCAGAAUAUCGAAUUUUUCACCAGGCCCGGUCGUCCUGCCAAAUUUCAUGAGUUUUCGCCAGUGGGAAGUGGGCCAUUUUCCAGUUUAAAGCGGAGGAAAAAUAAUAAUAAUAACAAACUAGGGCCCCGUUGGGGCACUGGCGGGCCCGAGCCGUGUCGCGCCACCCCCAACACGACCGCCUCUCCCUACCGAUCGCGUCACACUCAAGGUCCAAAGAUGGUGUGCCCACUUGUCUGUGGUCAUUUACAAUUAUAAUGAAUGGGAGGCGCAGUUUCUACCAAAACGCUCGCCGCAGACAAACUACAUGUCCUAUUUGAAAAGGACUGGACCAUGAGUGAGGGCACAAACACAGCUGGGAUAUAUCCAAAUGGCAAGUUGCUCCUCCUUUCGGUUUUGCCGAGAGAGUGAUGUGUUUGAGUCAUUGAGCGAUGGGCAGGAAAAACUUGACUUUUUCUCCUGCCAUGGGGGGCGCUCUUUUAGGGAGUAAAAAUUCCUUCACAAAUGUGUUGAUGGCUAGACAUUGCAUCAUCCUAGAAAACUUGGAGGCCAGUGAGGACAAAAAUAAAAAGUUAUAAGACAUUUAAGAAUGUGGAUUUUUGGGUUAUCUUUGGCGCCCCCUAGAACAUAAACCGUGGGGUGCAGCGUCAUGAUUUUUACAACUUUGAAUGGCCAUGGGGUGUAGAUUGGCCUGAGUAAAUUUGGUGUCAGUGGAACGAAAGCUUUAGGAGGAGUUAGCCACAUUCCAAUGUGUGCGAAUCGACCAAAAAUGCGAAAUAGCCCUUUAACCGUACAUUUUACAGAUACGCGCCCAUUGACUAUUUCGUAGAUCUUAUUGAGAAACACGUGAUUGUUAAAGUUUGUUUCAAUAUGACAAAGCAUACAGGCGUGACACUCAAUAAUGUGAAUUUUCACCUUAGGGGGGAAGAAAAACUGGACUUUUUUCUCCUGCCAUGGGGGGGCGCUCUUUUGGGGAGUAAAAAUUCCUUCACAAAUGUGUUGAUGGCUAGACAUUGCAUCAUCCUAGAAAACUUGGAGGCCAGUGAGGACAAAAAUAAAAAGUUAUACGACUUUUAAGAAUGUGGAUUUUUGGGUUAUCUUUGGCGCCCCCUAAAACGUAAACCGUGGGGUGCAGCGUCAUGAUUUUUACAACUUUUAAUGGCCAUGGGGUGUAGAUUGGCCUGAGCAAAUUUGGUGCCGGUGGAACGAAAGCCUUCGGAGGAGUUAGCGAAAUUCCAAUGUGUGCGGAUCGGCAAAAAAUGCGAAAUAGCCCUUUAACCGUACAUUUGACAGAUACGCCCACA
This is a non-coding RNA of Xyrichtys novacula (pearly razorfish), 1540 nucleotides long. The record is from the annotation of a GenBank genome assembly. NCBI's taxonomy places the organism in Eukaryota, Metazoa, Chordata, Actinopteri, Labriformes, Labridae.